Molecule: transfer RNA, 66 nt
Filed under: Tanna japonensis
Lineage: Eukaryota; Metazoa; Arthropoda; Insecta; Hemiptera; Cicadidae
Description: tRNA-Met
Source: RNAcentral
UAAAAGAUAAGCUAAUAUUAAAGCUGAUGGGUUCAUACCUCAUUUAUGGAAGUAUUCCUCUUUUUA